UACGUAGGGAGCAAGCGUUGUUCGGAAUUACUGGGCGUAAAGCGCGCGUAGGCGGACCUGCAAGUCGGGGGUGAAAGCCCGAGGCUCAACCUCGGAACUGCCUUCGAUACUGCGGGUCUCGAGUCCGGGAGAGGUGAGUGGAAUUCCUAGUGUAGAGGUGAAAUUCGUAGAUAUUAGGAGGAACACCGAUGGCGAAGGCAGGUCUCUGGGCCACUACUGACGCUGAGAAGCGAAAGCGUGGGGAGCGAACAGG
Molecule: ribosomal RNA, 253 nt
Filed under: uncultured bacterium
Lineage: Bacteria
Description: partial 16S ribosomal RNA
Rfam family: Bacterial small subunit ribosomal RNA
Source: RNAcentral